GGAGGCGAUUGGGUGCCUGGUGGCCCUCCCGGUCUUCAAAACCGUAGGGAUCCGAGCAUCUCGGGUCGGCGGGUUCGAUUCCCGUUCGCCUCCGCA
This 96-nucleotide transfer RNA is filed under the name Actinomadura rudentiformis. RNAcentral describes it as "tRNA-Sec". It matches the Rfam family "Selenocysteine transfer RNA". Lineage: Bacteria; Bacillati; Actinomycetota; Actinomycetes; Streptosporangiales; Thermomonosporaceae. RNAcentral also lists the same sequence under 1 other name. The record is from RNAcentral.